UGCUCCAAUAGCGUAUAUUAAAGUUGUUGCAGUUAAAAAGCUCGUAGUAGAAUCUCUGGUGUGACGUGCCCGGCCCGUUGCUUCGCAACCGUGUGCUGGAUUACGUCCACCAUCCUUCUGAAAAACGGCUCUACCCUUGAUUGGGCUCGGGUCGGGCUUCAGAUCGUUUACUUUGAAAAAAUUAGAGUGUUCAAAGCAGGCGUUUCGCCACUGAAUACAUUAGCAUGGAAUAAUAAGAUAGGGCUUCGGCGCUGUUUUGUUGGUUUUAUUGCGUAGAAGUAAUGAUAGAUAGGGAUAGUUGGGGGUGCUAGUAUUCAGCGGCCAGAGGUGAAAUUCUUGGAUUCGUUGAAGACUGACUUUUGCGAAAGCAUUCACCAAGGAUAUCUUCUUUUAUCAAGAA
Molecule: ribosomal RNA, 400 nt
Filed under: phytoplankton environmental sample
Lineage: Eukaryota
Description: partial small subunit ribosomal RNA
Rfam family: Eukaryotic small subunit ribosomal RNA
Source: RNAcentral